RNAcentral lists this ribosomal RNA (1539 nucleotides) under Triticum aestivum (bread wheat). Its description in RNAcentral is "partial small subunit ribosomal RNA". Lineage: Eukaryota; Viridiplantae; Streptophyta; Magnoliopsida; Poales; Poaceae. The record is from RNAcentral.
AUGUCGGGUGAUGCCGGCUGGCCGACUCUGCCGGGCCGCCUCGACGAUGAAGAUGGUGCCAGAUUGCCGCCCGAGUGUCUGCUGGACCGGCGCGUUCGCACGGACUUCGACGAUGACGAUCAGCAAGACCUCAUCGCCUUGCAACCCUUCAAAAUCCUGAGAUGUGUGUACAAGAAGGCGUUGGGGUUUCCAUCCGAGCUGCAGACCCAGGCGGAUGAGAUGGUUCAGACCCUACAAAUCGGUGUGCACCUCGCCAAGUCGCCGCCGGGUUUGUCCUGUCUGGGCCUUCGAGGCGGCAGCCCGAUGACCAACAUCGAAACCGUCCAGGACAGCAUCGUCGUCCUCACCACCACUUUCCUCCAUGAUUUUGACUACACCUUCUAUCUGGUCUAUGAAGCCUCCAGUGGUUCGCUCCACAUGAUCCCCAUGCCAGAAAAUCCUUGUUUCAUUCUCACAGGGCUCAGUGCUAGCAUGCUCAUCGCGAGGUCAUUCUACACUGCCGACUACGCGCUGGUUGUAUUGGGCAAGCUGGACGGGCAAGAGGGGGAUGUUCCGUUGGUGUGGCUGUCUUCAUCCUCGUCACCAUCUUGGUCUGAGAUCAAGACCACCGUCUUCAGCCAACCCCCCUCAUUGAUGCUGCACUAUGCUGAUAUGGGCUUUACUAUCGGAUCCAUGGCCUGCUGGGUGGACCUCCUGCGCGGUGUCGCAUUCUCUUGGUGCAACACCCUCUUCCCCAAAGACUGUCGCAAGGAACCCACGCUUAACUUUGGCUUCUUUUCCUUGCCCAGAGAGUUGCCUGGAGCAGAUCACUGUCGCGGCAACACCCGGGUGGCACAGCCAGAAGCCUACCGCACCAUAGGCGUCGUCCAAGGUUUCAUCAGGUUCGUCUCCAUCGACGGCUUUCUCGACUAUGUCGACCUCAAGGACCGCACCUUGACAGUCUGGAAGCGAACGUUGAACCGUGUGUGGCAGUUGGAGUACAAGCUCAGUCUCGAGACCCUAUGGGGGCUCCAGGGAUUCGGCGACUUGCCAAAGAACCUAACUCCCAUGUACCCUCUCCUUAGCACAGAGAAUACGGAUAUUGUCUACUUUGCACUUGGGGAAUAUCUGGAGAACCGGCGCAGGUGGAAGUUUAUCCCAAUAUGUGCACACUAUCUACUCGCGGUCAACAUGCAGAGCAACACAGUCCAGGCUUCCAUAUCUCUCGCAGACUGUUUUGGCAGUCCUGACAUCCCAGACCUUGUUUCUUCUAGUUUCAGCCGGUAUGUCCAUGUCGUGGGGCAUGAUCUACACAUUAUGAUGAUGGACACGAUGAAGCAAAUGGCGUCGAUCCAUUUGGACCCCAUUGACUAUGAUGAAAGGGAGGCUCGGAAGGUGAUGAGGGAGAGCCCAUUCAACUGGCAAGGAACUUUGAAGGACAAACCUAUCUUUUAUCCAGCUCGCUACUACUCGCAACCAUCAUUGCUUCGUCUCACCCAAUCAGAUAUUUACUUCCUUUUCACAGCCACUGCAGACAUCAUUCCGGAGAUAUCAGGGUGA